GUAUAAAGACCAAGUAGGAUGAAACUGCGGACGGCUCAUUAUAACAGUAAUAGUUUCUUUGGUUAGUAAAGUACAAGGAUAGCUUUGUGAAUGAUAAAGAUAAUACUUGAGACGAUCCAAUUUGUAUUAGUACAAAGUGGCCAAUUUAUGUAAGUAAAUUGAGAAAUGACAUUCUAAGUGAGUUAGGAUGCCACGACAAUUGUAGAACACACAGUGUUUAACAAGUAACCAAUGAGAAUUUCUGAUCUAUCAAUCAGUUGGUAGUAUCGAGGACUACCAAGAUUAUAACGGAUAACGAGGAAUUGGGGUUCGACAUCGGAGAGGGAGCUUUACAGAUGGCUACCACUUCUAAGGAAGGCAGCAGGCGCGUAAAUUACCCACUUUCGAAUUGAAGAGGUAGUGACGACACAUAACUCUAGAGUUGAGUAAAAUCAAUUCUUGAAGGAAUGAGUAGGAGGUAAAUUCUCCUACGAAAUCAAUUGGAGGGCAAGUCUGGUGCCAGCAGCCGCGGUAAUUCCAGCUCCCAAUAGUGA
Molecule: ribosomal RNA, 533 nt
Filed under: Entamoeba sp. 1 PNS-2013
Lineage: Eukaryota; Evosea; Mastigamoebida; Endamoebidae
Description: SSU rRNA
Rfam family: Eukaryotic small subunit ribosomal RNA
Source: RNAcentral